UCCGGUUUGUCACCGGCAGUCUCAUUAGAGUGCCCAACUGAAUGUGGCAACUAAUGACAAGGGUUGCGCUCGUUGCGGGACUUAACCCAACAUCUCACGACACGAGCUGACGACAGCCAUGCAGCACCUGCAGUGGCCCCCUUGCGGGACACCGCCUCUCAGCGGCUUUAACCACCAUGUCAAGAGCUGGUAAGGUUCUGCGCGUUGCGUCGAAUUAAACCACAUGCUCCACCGCUUGUGCGGGCCCCCGCCAAUUCCUUUGAGUUUUAACCUUGCGGCCGUACUUCCCAGGCGGUGCGCUUAACACGUUAGCUCCGACACCGAGGGGCAAGCCCCCCAACAUCUAGCGCACAUCGUUUAGGGCGUGGACUAC
RNAcentral lists this unclassified non-coding RNA (373 nucleotides) under uncultured Pseudomonadota bacterium. RNAcentral describes it as "uncultured proteobacterium contains 16S-23S intergenic spacer region". Lineage: Bacteria; Pseudomonadati; Pseudomonadota. The record is from RNAcentral.